RNAcentral lists this ribosomal RNA (301 nucleotides) under uncultured bacterium. RNAcentral describes it as "partial 16S ribosomal RNA". It matches the Rfam family "Bacterial small subunit ribosomal RNA", at positions 509 to 807 of the family's 1533-position model. The record is from RNAcentral.
CAGUAGCCGCGGGAACACGUAGGGUGCAAGCGUUAAUCGGAAUUACUGGGCGCAAAGCGUGCGCAGGCGGUUCGUUAAGACAGAUGUGAAAUCCCCGGGCUUAACCUGGGAACUGCAUUUGUGACUGGCGGGCUAGAGUAUGGCAGAGGGGGGUAGAAUUCCACGUGUAGCAGUGAAAUGCGUAGAGAUGUGGAGGAAUACCGAUGGCGAAGGCAGCCCCCUGGGCCAAUACUGACGCUCAUGCACGAAAGCGUGGGGAGCAAACAGGAUUAGAUACCCCUGUAGUCCCUGUCUCUUAUAC